RNAcentral lists this ribosomal RNA (382 nucleotides) under uncultured bacterium. Its description in RNAcentral is "bacterial SSU rRNA". It matches the Rfam family "Bacterial small subunit ribosomal RNA", at positions 524 to 906 of the family's 1533-position model. The record is from RNAcentral.
UACGAAGGGGGCUAGCGUUGCUCGGAUUUACUGGGCGUAAAGGGCGCGUAGGCGGACAGUUAAGUCGGGGGUGAAAGCCCGGGGCUCAACCUCGGAAUUGCCUUCGAUACUGGCUGUCUUGAGUGUGAGAGAGGUGUGUGGAACUCCGAGUGUAGAGGUGAAAUUCGUAGAUAUUCGGAAGAACACCAGUGGCGAAGGCGACACACUGGCUCACUACUGACGCUGAGGCGCGAAAGCGUGGGGAGCAAACAGGAUUAGAUACCCUGGUAGUCCACGCUGUAAACGAUGAGUGCUAGUUGUCGGGCGGCAUGCCGUUCGGUGACGCAGCUAACGCAUUAAGCACUCCGCCUGGGGAGUACGGUCGCAAGAUUAAAACUCAAAG